Perognathus longimembris pacificus (Pacific pocket mouse) is the source of this 148-nucleotide long non-coding RNA. RefSeq lists it as uncharacterized. NCBI's taxonomy places the organism in Eukaryota, Metazoa, Chordata, Mammalia, Rodentia, Heteromyidae. The record is from RefSeq and is a predicted model, not a curated record. The transcript has 3 exons.
GGGAGAGUCGUGCACUGUGACGCAGCUGAUGACGUUUUUUCUUUGCUUGGAGACAGUGCUGGGAAGGGGAAGGGAGAAGUGAGGAUCAAGAGGGUGAUACACGACACCAGCAGUGUGUGUGUGUGUGUGUGUGCGCUUGUGUGGGUGC